GCACAGUGCUCUGCUGAAAUAUUUUCACCCAUGUCUUUUGCGCACUUUUUGUUUCCUGGGCGAGUUUGCUCGCCACCAGGACCCCCAUAUGAACCUUUUUUGUUUUUGCACUCAGCGUCAGUACAAUAAUUUAAUCUAUUAAAACUUUCAACAACGGAUCUCUUGGUUCUGGCAUCCAUGAAAAACGCAGCCAAAUGCGAUACGUAGUGGGAAUUGCAGAAUUCAGUGAAUCAUCCAAUCUUUGAACCCACAUUGCGCCCUUUGGUAUUCCAAAGGGCAUGCCUGUUCCAGCGUCAUUUGUACCCUCAAGCUUUGCUUGGUGUUGGGCGUCUUAUUGUCUCUCCCUCUCGGGGAGACUCGACUUAAAACAAGUUGCAACCGGGCUCCUGGUUUCCGAGCACAUCACACAUUUGCCCUUGCAAUCAGCCAAGGGCGGGAUCAAAGAAUCCUUUUUCUCUCAGAUUUUGACCCCCGACAGGAAGGAUACCCGAUGAACUCAAGCAUAUCAUAAGCGGAAGAAACCUUGGCCGGGCGAG
RNAcentral lists this ribosomal RNA (536 nucleotides) under Exserohilum turcicum. Its description in RNAcentral is "eukaryotic LSU rRNA". The stretch from base 143 to 296 matches the Rfam family "5.8S ribosomal RNA". The record is from RNAcentral. Lineage: Eukaryota; Fungi; Ascomycota; Dothideomycetes; Pleosporales; Pleosporaceae.